CGGCUAGUGUUCUUAAGUCAUGCGUGCUUGUUGUUUUUUUAGUGAAUCGCUUCAGACAAACUCUGGGUGGCAGCCAGUAGCGUUAGCAUUCAUCGCCAGCUGUGCAAGAGUAUGCCGAAAGCCUGUCCCCCUCCUACCUCGGCUCACCUCUUGUGAUGACCGGUCAUUGACUUUUUAAGGCCUUCGAAUUGUGGGCAAGGGGUUCUGACCACUGUUUUCUCCGUGUUUUGUUUGAGUUCUAGUAUCGUAGCCAGUCAUGUUUUUCUUUUAGUUUGGGGUUGUUGAUAUCGUGUCUGUGUGUGGGUGUGUGCGCGUGCGUCUUCGUACGGGCAGGCGCUUUGUCUGUUUUUUUGGUUUGUUUUGGGUUUUCUUAAUUUCUUAUAUAUUUUGCCCCGUUCUUCUCUCUUUGUCCAUCUACGGCCUGCGGCCUACUGAACUUCAUCUAGUCAGCCAAACCUGUGUAGUAGCCUGCUUUGUGUGAGCACCUGUUAGUGUAGGUUGACAAUUGCUGUGUAUCCUCGUGUGAUGAAAUU
Long non-coding RNA from Alosa alosa (allis shad), 533 nucleotides. RefSeq lists it as uncharacterized. NCBI's taxonomy places the organism in Eukaryota, Metazoa, Chordata, Actinopteri, Clupeiformes, Clupeidae. The transcript is spliced from 3 exons. The record is from RefSeq and is a predicted model, not a curated record.